CAGUACACUGUAACUCAGAGUCCAUCAAUAACAGCUCAACCAGGACAAGAAGUCAGAAUAAACUGUAAAACCAGCAGUGCAGUCACUCCUUUAACAGGCUGUACUCCACCCUGUCUGUCCUGGUACUUACAGAAACCUGGAGAAGCUCCUAAACUCCUGAUUUAUCGGAUCAACAGACUCCAGUCUGGAACUCCAUCUAGAUUCAGUGGCAGUGGAUCUGGCAGUGAUUUCACUCUGAUCAUCAGUGGAGUCCAGACUGAAGAUACAGGAGAUUAUUACUGUCAGAGUUUCCACUAUCCAAACAGUCAAUAUGUGUUCACACAGUGAUAAAGAGUGGUACAAAAACCUCGGUCAGUCAGACGUCACAGUGAUGCACUGAUACAGCUGAGAGAUACUGCAGCUGCUGAUGGAGGAUCACAAACA
This is a non-coding RNA of Ctenopharyngodon idella (grass carp), 423 nucleotides long. Lineage: Eukaryota; Metazoa; Chordata; Actinopteri; Cypriniformes; Xenocyprididae. The record is from the annotation of a RefSeq genome assembly.